This 81-nucleotide microRNA precursor is filed under the name Marmota monax (woodchuck). Lineage: Eukaryota; Metazoa; Chordata; Mammalia; Rodentia; Sciuridae. The record is from RNAcentral.
AGUAAAAUCACCGGGAGGAACUUGUUAAAAAACAGUCCCUGAAGAAUUUAUAUUUCUAACAAGUUGCCAGGUGAUGCUGAU